GACGAACGCUGGCGGCGUGCUUAAUACAUGCAAGUCGAACGGAAAGGCUCUGCUUUUGUGGGGUGCUCGAGUGGCGAACGGGUGAGUAACACGUGAGUAACCUGCCCUUGACUUUGGGAUAACUUCAGGAAACUGGGGCUAAUACCGGAUAGGAGCUCCUGCUGCAUGGUGGGGGUUGGAAAGUGUCGGCGGUUGGGGAUGGACUCGCGGCUUAUCAGCUUGUUGGUGGGGUAGUGGCUUACCAAGGCUUUGACGGGUAGCCGGCCUGAGAGGGUGACCGGCCACAUUGGGACUGAGAUACGGCCCAGACUCCUACGGGAGGCAGCAGUGGAGAAUAUUGCACAAUGGGCGGAAGCCUGAUGCAGCAACGCCGCGUGCGGGAUGACGGCCUUCGGGUUGUAAACCGCUUUCGCCUGUGACGAAGCGUGAGUGACGGUAAUGGGUAAAGAAGCACCGGCUAACUACGUG
This 468-nucleotide ribosomal RNA is filed under the name uncultured bacterium. RNAcentral's name for it is "partial 16S ribosomal RNA". It matches the Rfam family "Bacterial small subunit ribosomal RNA", at positions 28 to 507 of the family's 1533-position model. The record is from RNAcentral.